This 600-nucleotide long non-coding RNA is filed under the name Mytilus galloprovincialis (Mediterranean mussel). Lineage: Eukaryota; Metazoa; Mollusca; Bivalvia; Mytilida; Mytilidae. The record is from RNAcentral.
GAUUACAGACCGUUGGUAUUAAUUGUGUAUAUGUAUAUUCAAGACGAGACGAAAACAACAAUUAAUACAAUAGAAGGGUUCUAUAGUGUUAUGAAUUUAUCAUCCACUUUUCAACAGGACGUUACUGUGUAUUAGCUGAAAUUGGACACAACCAAACAGAGCAAGGCAUUCAACACUAGGCAAUAGGAUAUUAUCAUAUAUCUAUUAAUCAUUUACAGAAGGCACCAAUUGUUUUCUAUUGAAAAACAAAACAAUCGCCCCCAAUCCAAUGGAACCUAAUUUCCAAAUGGCAAAGUUAUUAUGAUAUCCUCAUUAAAUAUUUAAUAUAUUAAACACUCAGAUAUAAUGUAUUUGACUGAUCUAUGGCAGAUUUUAAAUUGAUGGCAAAAAUGACACCCCAAACAAAGCAUAAUUACAAAUGUAUAUGGCAGAAUUGGAAAUUGCAUAAUUUUUUGGGGGGUGGGGGGAAAACAUAUCACAAUUCAAUAUCAUUUCGUUUUGAAGGGACUAUGCAAAGUUACUGUUCAUUUGCAAAUUAAAAGAAUAUCUACAUAAAAAAAAACGAUUAAAUUUCUAUCAAUGUAACAACUUAGCGACCCC